UUUUUAUCAAGUAAAAGCCAACAAAAUGCAUGGGCUUCAAAUCUCUAGCCCAAAUUACUAACCCAGGAGAUAAACAAAACAAAACCCAAUCCAAACAAACAAAUCACCAUCAAGACCCAAUCAAAAUAAACCUAAUCCAAUUCCCAACUAAUUUUUGUUAAACCCAUCAGAAUAAUAAGAUAACUAAAAAAACAUACCUAAUCAUAUCAUAAUCUCAGAAUUAAUCUACCCAACAACUCACUGAAAAUACAAAAGGCAAACUGAAACUUAGAAGGGCCAAAACAACUUGAUAUUUUUUAGUUUUUGGGCCACAAUGCAAUUAGAUAGAAAUUGAGGGGUUAAAUUGCAAAUCUUUUGGAGAACCCAAGCAAGCUUUCGAAGAGCAGGUUUCUUCCUCAUUUAGACAAAAACUUCUGCAACUCGCAAUUCACAAACCCAACUCACAAACACAAUCAAAUCUAGUUUGAAAUUGAGCAAACAAAGCUACUUCCUAAACCUUUACUUUGCAACAUGCAACCUCUAAAUUUAAACCCAAAAAAAAUCAGACAAAAGGGCAUGUGAACAUCAAAACAACAUUCUGCAAUUUUCCAGCUACAAGCCGAAAAUGGUGAUCAUGCAAAGUAAUGAAAAUGAGUAUGUAGUGAUCUGUCCACCCAAACUCAUGUGAAUUCCAAAUCCUCAACUUUAUCAUAAUUCAAGCAUGGCUGUCUAUCAUUAUUAAUCCCAACAGAGAGUAUCCCGAUAAGAAAACAAGAAGAACAGAAGAUGCAAAACACCGAUUCAUCAGAAUUUUCUCAAACGCAAAAAUUGAACUUGCUCACUUAUCCAGUUCCUUCACACGCGAAAAUGCAGACCAGUUAUCUUUUAAUUAGAACACUCAGUUGGGCAUUUCAUCUAACAGGUUGUAGGCAUCAAAAUCUUACCAGAUUUCUGCUCAAAUUGAAGCAUAACUAACCCAGAAAUUUGUCAAAAACCAAGGAAAUUCAGUCCAAUCAAACACGCAAGGCACACUAAUUCUAAAAUCAAUGAACGAUCAACACGAAAAAUGGAAAUUACGAAAUCACAGAAAACUCAUUUUUUUGCAACAUGGUAAAAGAUUUGUGAAAUCUGCCUUAGGCCACUUUGCAAACCAACUCUUCAUAGCCUAUAGUAAUUUUAUACCAGCUAUCCUGAUCACACGGCAAGAAAAUCAAGUAUUUGGAGCAAUUAUGAAUUUUAACCCAAGAUGACUAACAAAUCAUGCGGCAGUUUCCUUUCUACCAUUUCAGCAUGCAUGUGAUAGAAUUUAUAAACCUCAAUAGAGCAUGUAAAUACAUCAACUAAUGCCCCACGGCUCAAACCGAAUUACUUAGGACCAAACACACAAAAUCAUAAUACCAAAACCAGAGUUCCAGUAGCUGCCUUUCAAAUCCACAGCCGAAACAAUUUACUCGUCUAAAAUCAGAAGCAAACAUUGACUAAAGUACCAAAUCGAUGAACCAAGCCUCUAAAAGAGAUCAUAUAUGACAGAGGCGACAUGAGGCAAUCUUAUUGACAUCAGAAAACAAUACUUCAGCAAGCCCAAAGGGAAAACAAAAGAAUUGUCGCAACAAGCCCAACUCACUGACUUAUCUGAUUUCUUCAUACGUAAAAAAAAAUGCCACAAAACCAUUUUUAACAAGAAUUUUCGGCUAGACAUUUCAUCGAGCAGAUUAAGGGCAUUAAAAAGUUCAACAAAUUUUCGCUCAAUUGGGGUUGUAAUCAGCCCCAAAAUUGUCAGCAAACCAAGGAAAUUCAAUUCAAUCAAUAUAUAAGACAGGCAUGUCCAAAAAUUGCGGAUAAUCGCUGGAAAAUUGUGGUAAACAAAUCUGCUUUGAGUUUUAAGAGUCUGAGCAUGAAAUUUGAAGGAAAGGGAUAGCUUACCUUAUCCUCUCGGUGACAGUUCGUCGGUGAUGGCAGUAGAUUCCGGCAAGCUCCAACCUUUUCCAGCCGCUCCUUUGCUCUUCUCCCUCUAGCUUUCGUUUUGCUCGUCGCCUAGCCUGCCGCCUGGUUCCUCUCCGUUUCCAUUUUACUUGGCCGUAGCUCUCUUACGCUUUCCCCAGUUUUCCCUGCUCCUUUCCUCCUCCGUUUUUGCAUUCAGCCGAAACCUUUUCCACUUUUCUUCUGAUUUCCUCAGUUUUCCCUUCUUUUCUGAUUUCUUUUCAGUUCCCAGCCUCCGUAGCUCUCCCUGUUUUUUUAGUUUUCUGUUCAAACCCUGCCCCCGUAGCUCUCUCUAUUUUCAGCCUU
This 2265-nucleotide long non-coding RNA is filed under the name Coffea arabica (coffee). RNAcentral's name for it is "long non-coding RNA (CARA_LNC007397)". The record is from RNAcentral. Lineage: Eukaryota; Viridiplantae; Streptophyta; Magnoliopsida; Gentianales; Rubiaceae.